RNAcentral lists this ribosomal RNA (301 nucleotides) under uncultured bacterium. RNAcentral's name for it is "partial 16S ribosomal RNA". It matches the Rfam family "Bacterial small subunit ribosomal RNA", at positions 509 to 807 of the family's 1533-position model. The record is from RNAcentral.
CAGUCGCCGCGGUAAGACGGAGGAUGCAAGCGUUAUCCGGAAUGAUUGGGCGUAAAGCGUCUGUAGGUGGUUUAUUAAGUCUGCUGUUAAAGCACAGGGCUCAACCCUGUAUGGGCGGUAGAAACUGGUAGGCUUGAGUAUGGUAGGGGUAGAGGGAAUUCCCGAUGUAGUGGUGAAAUGCGUUGAUAUCGGGAAGAACACCAAAGGCGAAAGCACUCUGCUGGGCCAAUACUGACACUGAGAGACGAAAGCUAGGGGAGCAAAUGGGAUUAGAUACCCCUGUAGUCCCUGUCUCUUAUAC